CCUACGGGGGGCAGCAGUGAGGAAUAUUGGUCAAUGGACGAGAGUCUGAACCAGCCAAGUAGCGUGAAGGAUGACUGCCCUAUGGGUUGUAAACUUCUUUUAUAUGGGAAUAAAACAGGGUAUGCAUACCCUCUUGUAUGUACCAUAUGAAUAAGGAUCGGCUAACUCCGUGCCAGCAGCCGCGGUAAUACGGAGGAUCCGAGCGUUAUCCGGAUUUAUUGGGUUUAAAGGGAGCGUAGGUGGAUUGUUAAGUCAGUUGUGAAAGUUUGCGGCUCAACCGUAAAAUUGCAGUUGAAACUGGCAGUCUUGAGUACAGUAGAGGUGGGCGGAAUUCGUGGUGUAGCGGUGAAAUGCUUAGAUAUCACGCAGAACUCCGAUUGCGAAGGCAGCUUACUGGACUGCAACUGACACUGAUGCUCGAAAGUGUGGGUAUCAAACAGGAUUAGAUACCCCAGUAGUC
RNAcentral lists this ribosomal RNA (460 nucleotides) under uncultured bacterium. RNAcentral's name for it is "partial 16S ribosomal RNA". It matches the Rfam family "Bacterial small subunit ribosomal RNA", at positions 338 to 795 of the family's 1533-position model. The record is from RNAcentral.